RNAcentral lists this ribosomal RNA (376 nucleotides) under uncultured eukaryote. Its description in RNAcentral is "partial 18S ribosomal RNA". It matches the Rfam family "Eukaryotic small subunit ribosomal RNA", at positions 592 to 976 of the family's 1831-position model. The record is from RNAcentral.
CAAUAGCGUAUAUUAAAGUUGUUGCAGUUAAAAAGCUCGUAGUUGGAUUUGUGGUGCGUGUCCUGGCGUCCGAAUUUUCGGUUCUGCUAGGGCCGUGCCAUCCUUGGGUGGAAUCUGUGUGGCAUUAGGUUGUCGUGCAGGGGAUGCCCAUCAUUUACUGUGAAAAAAUUAGAGUGUUCAAAGCAAGCCUACGCUCUGAAUAUAAUAGCAUGGGAUAACACGACAGGACUCUGGCCUAUCGUGUUGGUCUAUAGGACCAGAGUAAUGAUUAAGAGGGACAGUCGGGGGCAUUCGUAUUCCGUUGUCAGAGGUGAAAUUCUUGGAUUUACGGAAGACGAACAUCUGCGAAAGCAUUUGCCAAGGAUGUUUUCAUUGA